Ctenopharyngodon idella (grass carp) is the source of this 1231-nucleotide long non-coding RNA. RefSeq lists it as uncharacterized. Lineage: Eukaryota; Metazoa; Chordata; Actinopteri; Cypriniformes; Xenocyprididae. The transcript is spliced from 4 exons. The record is from RefSeq and is a predicted model, not a curated record.
AAAUGUUUGGGUUGAACAACAGUGGAGCGUUGAAAGACCCUCAUCCAGAACUAUCGGAUCAGGAGCUCUUCUGGGCAGUGGAUCAGUAUGACUUUGUCAUCAUGCUGUGUGCCGGAGAUCUCCAGUGCUUCUGGCACUUUGCUCACUAUGGUCCUGCUGGUGACUGUGUGGCCCUUGAUAGACAUCUGUCUGUGAUUGUUAAUGCUCCGAGCGGAUUAAUAAUCGGCACAGCUGACGAUGAAAGUGCUCAGAUUGUCUUCAGUGUUGAGGAGACUGCAGGUUUUUAUCAGAUGUGCUUCAGUAAUUUCCACAAUCGCUUUGGGAUCAUGCAGGUUUUCCUGAACUUUGGUGUGUAUUACAAGGAAGAGAAGAAAAAGACAAGAGAAGAAAAAGGAAGAAAAGAAGAAAAAGAAAGAAGAGGAUAUGAAACAGAUAAACAGUUCAUUGUCCUUUAUUGGGUGUAUCUCCAGAAACAAGAGAAGCAGUGGAUUCCAGUAACAUGAAGCUCCUGUGAGGACGCUGAACAUCUGCUGAUGGAGCUGCUCUAUUCUGAGAGGAACAGAAUCACCUGAUGAUCAAAUAUGAGUUUCACUGUCCACACUUUAUUCUCUGAAAUGAGUCAGAAGAGUUGGACUAAUGGAGAGAUGAGGUUUGUUCAUGUUCAUCAGUUUAUAAUGAAACACUGUCAGUGUCUGAAGCCUCUGGACUGCUGAGAUCGUCCUUGACUCGGUUAGAGAGUAAGAGCUCCAAGAGUUCAAUCCACAAAACUAUUAAUGAUAUGCUGGAUUCAGAAAACAGGUCACGUCUGUGAGCAGUUGUGUUUGUAUGAAUGAAUGAGGGUGAGUGUGGUCUGAAACAAUGACAAAUUAUGCAAAUUAGACACAAAUAUGAUAUAUAUAGUCUAUAUGUAUAGUCCGAUUGUCAAAUAUGUGCAAGUGGAUGUGUUUUGCUGUUUAAACACCUUUAUAACGAUCGCGUUAGUUGAGCCGUAUGCUCGAUGGGCGCCGCCAUGUUAGUUUGCGCCGCACAGAGAAUCGGAUCUGUUGGAUUUACAACACGUGAAUUCAUCCACUUCUCCCGAAAUACAUGAAAGUAAGUGAGCCGGUGAACUGGGGAAGAAUAGAGUAAACUUUAAAGUUACUUACACAAUGUGUAUCUAUGAAUAAAACGUGUCGUCUAAUUAAAAUGUAAUGUAAUUUACAAACUCUAAAUAUAUUGUUUUGUUAGUACU